RNAcentral lists this ribosomal RNA (1018 nucleotides) under uncultured organism. RNAcentral's name for it is "bacterial SSU rRNA". It matches the Rfam family "Bacterial small subunit ribosomal RNA", at positions 356 to 1376 of the family's 1533-position model. The record is from RNAcentral.
GAGGAAUAUUGGUCAAUGGACGAGAGUCUGAACCAGCCAAGUCGCGUGAGGGAAGACUGCCCUAUGGGUUGUAAACCUCUUUUAUAAGGGAAGAAUAAGUUCUACGUGUAGAAUGAUGCCUGUACCUUAUGAAUAAGCAUCGGCUAACUCCGUGCCAGCAGCCGCGGUAAUACGGAGGAUGCGAGCGUUAUCCGGAUUUAUUGGGUUUAAAGGGUGCGUAGGCGGUUUAUUAAGUUAGUGGUUAAAUAUUUGAGCUAAACUCAAUUGUGCCAUUAAUACUGGUAAACUGGAGUACAGACGAGGUAGGCGGAAUAAGUUAAGUAGCGGUGAAAUGCAUAGAUAUAACUUAGAACUCCGAUAGCGAAGGCAGCUUACCAGACUGUAACUGACGCUGAUGCACGAGAGCGUGGGUAGCGAACAGGAUUAGAUACCCUGGUAGUCCACGCCGUAAACGAUGCUCACUGGUUCUGUGCGAUAUAUUGUACGGGAUUAAGCGAAAGUAUUAAGUGAGCCACCUGGGGAGUACGUCGGCAACGAUGAAACUCAAAGGAAUUGACGGGGGCCCGCACAAGCGGAGGAACAUGUGGUUUAAUUCGAUGAUACGCGAGGAACCUUACCUGGGUUUAAAUGGGAAAUGUCGUAUUUGGAAACAGAUAUUCUCUUCGGAGCGUUUUUCAAGGUGCUGCAUGGUUGUCGUCAGCUCGUGCCGUGAGGUGUCGGGUUAAGUCCCAUAACGAGCGCAACCCUUACCGUUAGUUGCUAGCAUGUAAUGAUGAGCACUCUAACGGGACUGCCACCGUAAGGUGAGAGGAAGGCGGGGAUGACGUCAAAUCAGCACGGCCCUUACACCCAGGGCUACACACGUGUUACAAUGGCCGGUACAGAGGGCCGCUACCAGGUGACUGGAUGCCAAUCUCAAAAGCCGGUCGUAGUUCGGAUUGGAGUCUGUAACCCGACUCCAUGAAGUUGGAUUCGCUAGUAAUCGCGCAUCAGCCAUGGCGCGGUGAAUACGUUCCCG